GUCUGUAUGAAGUUAUAUAGAGUCUAACCUGCCCAUUGAAUAAUUUAAAAGGCCGCAGUAUAUUAACUGUGCAAAGGUAGCAUAAUCAUUAGUUUUUUAAUUGAAGGCUUGUAUGAAGGGUUGGACAAAGAAUAAUCUGUUUCUAUUUUUAUUUUUGAAUUUAACUUUUAAGUGAAAAGGCUUAAAUGAGUUUAAGGGACGAUAAGACCCUAUAAAUCUUAAUAUUAAAUUAUUUUUAGUUAAUUAAUAAUUGUAAAUAUAAUAAUAAAAUAAUAAAUAUUAUGUUGGGGCGACAAGAAUAUAAUAAAUAACUGUUCUAAAAUUAAAACAAAAUUAUUUGAAAAAAAAGAUCCUUUAUAAAGAUUAAAAGUUCAAGUUACUUUAGGGAUAACAGCGUUAUUUUUUUUGAGAGUUCUUAUCGAAAAAAAAGUUUGCGACCUCGAUGUUGAAUUAAAAUUUCUUUGUGGUGUAGUUGUUACAAAAGAGAGUCUGUUCGACUUUU
This 502-nucleotide ribosomal RNA is filed under the name Trapezionida simulatrix. RNAcentral's name for it is "Munida simulatrix partial large subunit ribosomal RNA". It matches the Rfam family "Bacterial large subunit ribosomal RNA", at positions 1831 to 2589 of the family's 2925-position model. Lineage: Eukaryota; Metazoa; Arthropoda; Malacostraca; Decapoda; Munididae. The record is from RNAcentral.